UGGCGUAGGAUUUACGACGUUACUUUGAAAAAAUUAGAGUGUUCAAAGCAGNCUUUCCGCUUGAAUACAUGAGCAUGGAAUAAUGGAAUAGNACUUUGGUUCUAUUUUGUUGGUUUCUAGGGCCGAAGUAAUGAUUAAGAGGGACAAUUGGGGGCAUCCGUAUUUCGUUGUCAGAGGUGAAAUUCUUGGAUUUACGAAAGACGAACAACUGCGAAAGCAUUUGCCAAGAGUGUUUUCAUUAAUCAAGAACGAAAGUUAGAGGAUCGAAGACGAUCAGAUACCGUCCUAGUUCUAACCAUAAACGAUGUCGACUAGGGAUCAGCGGGCGUUACUGUACGACCUCGUUGGCACCUUACGGGAAACCAAAGUUUUUGGAUUCCGGGGGAAGUAUGGUUGCAAAGCUGAAACUUAAAGGAAUUGACGGAAGGGCACCACCCAGGAGU
RNAcentral lists this ribosomal RNA (443 nucleotides) under uncultured eukaryote. RNAcentral describes it as "SSU rRNA". It matches the Rfam family "Eukaryotic small subunit ribosomal RNA", at positions 733 to 1177 of the family's 1831-position model. The record is from RNAcentral.